Molecule: long non-coding RNA, 2231 nt
Organism: Ictidomys tridecemlineatus (thirteen-lined ground squirrel)
Lineage: Eukaryota; Metazoa; Chordata; Mammalia; Rodentia; Sciuridae
Source: RefSeq, a predicted model, not a curated record
CUUUUGCUGAGGCUGACUUUGAACUUGUGAUCCUCUUGUCUCAGCCUCUUGAGCAGCUAGGAUUAGAGGUGUGUGCCAUUGCACCCGGUGAUGAGGGCUUCUUAAUGAGAUGCUGGCAAUGGAAGGCAAACCUCAGGAUGAUGAGCACCGAAGAGACAGGAGUAGGGGGCUGGGAGGAGUGGGCUGCACCUUGCCAUCUGAGACUUUGGCAAGUGAUAGGUGGACCUUUCCUGGCCUGAGGUCUUGAGAGCAGGGUAGGUGUGUCCCCUUGGGAGUGGAGGACACUGCCUAGGACCUCUCAACAUGGAGGGCAAGGCUUUUCUCCUUGCCUGUUAUGGGCAUGAUCACUGCUCAGGCCCUACAUGUUCUGUUUCCAACCACCUGCAGGUACUGGGUGAUGGGGACACUGCCAGCAUCACAGAGCCAGGAUUCCAGAACCCAGAGCUGGCCCUUUCUCCUGUCACCAGCUUUCAGGGGUUCCCUCUUGCCUCACUGAGGAUCCCUGAGAGUGGCCUGGAAGCCUGGAGGGGGUGGGGGCAAAAUGCAUGGGUGCCUUCUAGGGAGCCCUAACACCUACAGGACAUUAAAAACGCAAUGCAGAGGCCAGGCUGGCGAGGUGCUGUGUGGCUUCUGGGCCUCUCUCCAAGUCCCUGAGCUGGAGGUGCUCUGAUCGGGGGGAUCUGCAUGCCUCCCUGUUCCCCUGGAACACUCAGAACACUGAAUGUUGGCUCUUGGAGAUCACCUGGGUGGUACCCUGAGCUACGAGAUGGCAGCAGCAGAAGACCUAGCCUGUCUAGAAAGCUGCUGUAUGGAGAAAGGGGCAGGAGAAGGCAGGAUCUGGGCCUCAUCUGGGAGACCUAUCAGGUGUCAACCACGUGGCUUCUGGGGAGGCCAGGCUCUGGGGCAAGGUGGCAGGAUACUAAGCCCAGUGGUCCUGAGGGCAUAAGGACUUUGGUCAAGGUCUGAGUCUGGCAGGUCCACCCCAAGGCUGCCUACGUCCACCCCAAGGGCAAAUGCCCAAAGUCUUUUGCUGGAGCAAGGCGCCGGGCCUGCCGAGUGGCUUGCACAGCCGAGGGGGAUUCUAGACACACAGGGCAUCUGAUGCAAGCUGGGUGCGCUCCAGUCAGCGUAAAUCUUCUCAGUGGCUCUGCUUGUUUCCAUGGUGACCUGACAAGUGAAAUUUUCCAUCUCGGAUGCCAAAUGCCUGUGGAUGAGGCAAAGCCUCCAAGGGUUACCAAAUAUAGACACAGCCCAAGAGGCUCUGGGGCCAGGGCCAGCAGUGGGUUCAGGGUGGGAGUGUGGACCCCCCUGCCCAGAGGAUGCCAUUCUGGGCCUCUCAGAGACCUACUCUUCCUGCAGGCAGGACCCCAGCAGGGUAGCCAUGGGUGCAUCCUCGCUUCCCGUCCCACCAGUCUCAGAACACCAAGGCUUGGACGUUACUGGGACAGGGACACUCUGAGACAAUGUCUGCCUGGAAGUGGCUGUCCCACACCUGCCAGCUGCUGUGAUCCUCUAUCACUGUCUUCAACACGGACACUGGCACAUCUUUGUUGGUAUGUGGUGCUGAGGAUCAUCUUUGUUGGUAUGUGGUGCUGAGGAUCGAACCCAGGCCGCACGCAUGCCAGGCGAGCACGCUACUGCUUGAGCCACAUCCCCAGCCCAGCCAAGGGCUUCUCUUGGCCAUUUGGCUCCUGAGGCUGAGGGGCCAUCGUGGGGGCCUGUGUGGAGCAUGAAGAACUCCACAUGGUAGUGGGAGGACUGUGGACAGAUCCUUUCACAAUGGAACCACCCUGGGUGCCUGGAGGCAGGGCAGGGCAGGGUGUGAAGGUAUAGGUACUGGGAACAACUGGAGCCCCCAGUGGGAGAAGCUGGGAAGGGCCUCCUUCACAGCACUAUCUGCAAGGAGCAGGGGUCCCAAACUGCAAUGAGGGCCCUAAAGGGAAGAAGCCCAAGUUCACAGGACCCUUGAAGGGUAAGAAUUCCACCAGGCUUUGCCUGGGGAAUCUCAACUUUGCCAUGUGGCUUCAGGGGAGACGUUUCCCAUGACCCUACUCCUCUGCUCCGAGAACAGGAUGAGCAAAACUGCCAAGAUCAAACAUGGCCUCCCCCAUCCACACUGUCAGCAAAUCAUUCCCUGGUCCCUUGGCCAUUUGCUCGUGACACUCAUGUUGACUCCCAUUUGUGACUCCUCUGGCUUUGCCACCCAAUAAAGGUAUGCGGACACCCCACCA